RNAcentral lists this ribosomal RNA (253 nucleotides) under uncultured bacterium. Its description in RNAcentral is "partial 16S ribosomal RNA". It matches the Rfam family "Bacterial small subunit ribosomal RNA", at positions 524 to 776 of the family's 1533-position model. The record is from RNAcentral.
UACGGAGGGGGCUAGCGUUGUUCGGAAUUACUGGGCGUAAAGCGCACGUAGGCGGCUUUGUAAGUCAGAGGUGAAAGCCCGGAGCUUAACUCCGGAAUUGCCUUUGAGACUGCAUCGCUUGAAUCCAGGAGAGGUGAGUGGAAUUCCGAGUGUAGAGGUGAAAUUCGUAGAUAUUCGGAAGAACACCAGUGGCGAAGGCGGCUCACUGGACUGGUAUUGACGCUGAGGUUCGAAAGCGUGGGGAGCAAACAGG